Phyllostomus discolor (pale spear-nosed bat) is the source of this 165-nucleotide long non-coding RNA. RefSeq lists it as uncharacterized. Lineage: Eukaryota; Metazoa; Chordata; Mammalia; Chiroptera; Phyllostomidae. The record is from RefSeq and is a predicted model, not a curated record. The transcript has 3 exons.
UAUAUGAGGUCUGUCCAGAAAAAAAGUCCAGCCAUUGUUAAUAUAACUAGAAUUGUUUGUGCAACAUCAAUGUAAUCUGGCAACCAAGGAGAAAGGACUGGAAUUCACAUGUGUGAGUAAUGAUGACUUCACUGUACUAAUCAGUGGGGGUGGUAGAUGCCACUG